RNAcentral lists this unclassified non-coding RNA (236 nucleotides) under uncultured Clitopilus. Its description in RNAcentral is "sequence contains ITS1". Lineage: Eukaryota; Fungi; Basidiomycota; Agaricomycetes; Agaricales; Entolomataceae. The record is from RNAcentral.
AUGAAUAAACUUGGUCGAGCUGUUGCUGGUCUUUCGGGACAUGUGCACGCUUGCCACCAAUUUUAAUCCCCUGUGCACUUUUUGUAGACUCAGAAACGCUUCUCGAGGCAACUCGGAUUGAGAACUGCUGUGCGCAAGCCCAGCUGUUCUUGUGUUUCUUAGUCUAUGUCUUCAUAUACUCCGAAUGUGUAUGUAUCUGAAUGUAUUGCUGGGCCUUAGCGCCUUUAAAAACAAUA